RNAcentral lists this ribosomal RNA (503 nucleotides) under Cerophytum elateroides. Its description in RNAcentral is "partial 16S ribosomal RNA". The record is from RNAcentral. Lineage: Eukaryota; Metazoa; Arthropoda; Insecta; Coleoptera; Cerophytidae.
CAUGUUUUUUUGAAUUUUAUUUAAAAUUGAACCUGCUCAAUGAAUUUAAAUAGCCGCAGUAUAUUAACUGUGCAAAGGUAGCAAAAUAAUUAGUUUAUUAAUUGUAAACUUGUAUGAAAGGUUUGACAAAGAAAUAACUGUCUAAAAAUUAAAAAUUUAAUUUAACUUAAAAGUUAAAAGGCUUUUAUUUUUAACAGGGACAAGAAGACCCUAUAGAGUUUUAUAUAUUUAAUUAUUUAACAAUUAUUAAUUAAUAAUAUUUUUAUUUGAUUGGGGUGAUUUAAAAAUUUAAUAAACUUUUUAUUAGUUAAACUUUAUAAAUGAUUAUAUGAAAAAUAUUUUUGAUUUAAGAAUAAAUUACCUUAGGGAUAACAGCAUAAUUUUUAAAAAAGUUCAUAUUAAAAUAAAAGAUUAUGACCUCGAUGUUGGAUUAAAAAUUUUAUUUAAUGUAUAAAUUAAGUAUAAAGGUCUGUUCGUCCUUUAAAAUUUUACAUGAUCUGAGU